GCCCAGAGAGGUGGGCAACUACCACUCAGGGCCGGAAAGUUAUCCAAACUCGGUCAUUUAGAGGAAGUAAAAGUCGUAACAAGGUCUCCGUUGGUGAACCAGCGGAGGGAUCAUUA
RNAcentral lists this ribosomal RNA (116 nucleotides) under Colletotrichum salicis. Its description in RNAcentral is "partial 18S ribosomal RNA". It matches the Rfam family "Eukaryotic small subunit ribosomal RNA", at positions 1718 to 1831 of the family's 1831-position model. Lineage: Eukaryota; Fungi; Ascomycota; Sordariomycetes; Glomerellales; Glomerellaceae. The record is from RNAcentral.